CAGACGCAUGAUAGGUAAAGGAAGAGAGAUCGAGGGCAUCCUGUGUGUGUGGCGUUAUGGAAGACAUAGCACCUUAUCGACAACGAUGAUACAGAGGGUCCAUUUAGGUCUGCAGCUGCUCAGAGGGGUCCCUCAAGGAAGAUAUGGGUAGACACAAGAAGCAGGCAGUCACCAGUCCGAAGAACUCUUGGCUAUUAAGGGUUCAGGGAUCAUCGUGGGAGAGAAAGGAAAAAAAGGUGUCUAAGAGUCAGAGGAACCUCAAAGAUGACAUCUAUUACCAUUUGAGGGACCUUCACAUCUCUGGAAAUUGAUGUCCCAAACACAGUUUGAUGGAGACAUGAACAAAAAUCUAUUUACCCCAGAUAGGGAGUCAACGACAGAUGAGAAGAAUGACUGUUUAAGUUCAGCUGCAUGAAGCAAUGAGUCUUGAGCUUACUCAUAGGAAUAUGGGUGAGGAAUUCUUCCCAGGAGAAUAGGCGACCAAUUAGCAUUUACAUGACUGAAGUCCUGCUCACCAUGGAUGGCCCAGAAGCUGCACUGAUGGAGGCAACUGUAACCGUCUACAUUCUAUGGACUCUAGUACCAUCCCUCCAAGGCAGCUGUGCAUCCUGGCCUCCCUCAAGAUGCUGCCGUUCCCACCGUAGUGUGUUCUCCAAAUGUUUGUAAUGGAGGGAGGAGGGAAUCGUCUCUCCUGCUCAGCCUCCCAGCAUGCAAUGCCAGCUUAGAGACCGAGCAGCAGCUUCAAUAAGAUUUCAUGGAACACUUUACUAUAAAAGAAGCCAGAAUAAACACAAAAAUAAACAAAUUACUGCCAAAGCUUCUUAUAGCUGAUGGGUUAAGUGCUAUAUUUAGGUUCCUUGACCAGUAUUCCUUCUUUGUCUUUGUCUCCUACCUCAGACCAGACAGAGAGGUGAAGUUCAUAUAAGUUACACAGAUAAACUUGAAGUUAAAACCAUGAUGAUCACUCAGGAAAUUAACAACGACCUCUCUAAAUAUGGGGUAGGCAGACUUCUCAAAGAAGAAUGUUAGUAAACAACUUACUGAAUAGAAAGAUAAAUAAAGUUUUAUC
Arvicola amphibius (Eurasian water vole) is the source of this 1069-nucleotide long non-coding RNA. RefSeq lists it as uncharacterized. The transcript is spliced from 5 exons. Lineage: Eukaryota; Metazoa; Chordata; Mammalia; Rodentia; Cricetidae. The record is from RefSeq and is a predicted model, not a curated record.